GGCCGCAGAAUUUUAACUGUGCAAAGGUAGCAUAAUCACUAGUUUUUUAAUUGGAAGCUUGAAUGAAUGGUUGGACGAGGUACUUGCUGUUUCACAUUAAAUAUUAGAAUUUUAUUUUUUGGUAAAAAAGCCAAAAUUUUUUUGAAAGACGAGAAGACCCUAUAGAUCUUUAUAAUUUUAAAUAUUUUGUUUAUUAGGAUUGAAAUUGAUUAAUAUAUUUUAAAUUAUUUUGUUGGGGUGAUAUAGAGAUUUAUUAAACUUUCUUUAUUUUCUUUACAUUAAUUUAUGGUUUUAUUUGAUCCUAUAUUUUAGAUUAAAAAAUUAAGUUACCUUAGGGAUAACAGCGUGAUUUUUUCGGAGAGUUCAUAUCGAUGAAAGAGAUUGCGACCUCGAUGUUGGAUUAA
Molecule: ribosomal RNA, 404 nt
Filed under: Dysmachus fuscipennis
Lineage: Eukaryota; Metazoa; Arthropoda; Insecta; Diptera; Asilidae
Description: partial large subunit ribosomal RNA
Rfam family: Bacterial large subunit ribosomal RNA
Source: RNAcentral